AAAAAAUCGACUUUAAGAGAAGUAGCUAGGAUAGAAAAAAUCACAGAAAGUUUCGGCUGAUGAGAAGAAACAUUUUUUCCCUAGUGAAUGGACUUAUUGGAGCGUUCUUGAACCAGAGUAGGGAACGACGGGAGCUCCCGUUACAGAGUACGAUCGUUGUUGGACGAUUAGAGUUGCUGUUUGCGAACAGUAAAAAAGAGGUGGUACCGCGCUGCUUGCGCCCUCAAA
This 228-nucleotide non-coding RNA is filed under the name Enterococcus avium. Its description in RNAcentral is "T-box sequence". It matches the Rfam family "T-box leader". From Rfam's summary of the family: Uncharged tRNA acts as the effector for transcription antitermination of genes in the T-box leader family. Lineage: Bacteria; Bacillati; Bacillota; Bacilli; Lactobacillales; Enterococcaceae. The record is from RNAcentral.